GCGGGCGUGGUGGAAUUGGUAGACACGCUAGAUUCAGGUUCUAGUGGGCGAAAGCCCGUGGGGGUUCGAGUCCCUCCGCCCGCACCA
RNAcentral lists this transfer RNA (87 nucleotides) under Armatimonadetes bacterium GBS. Its description in RNAcentral is "tRNA_Leu_CAG". It matches the Rfam family "tRNA". Rfam says of the family: Transfer RNA (tRNA) molecules are approximately 80 nucleotides in length. Their secondary structure includes four short double-helical elements and three loops (D, anti-codon, and T loops). RNAcentral also lists the same sequence under 8 other names. The record is from RNAcentral. Lineage: Bacteria; Bacillati; Armatimonadota.